UUCGGGAGUGAGUACAGUGGCGAACGGGUGCGUAACACGUUGGUGACCUGCCUUGAGGAGGGGGACAACCGGGGGAGGACACGGCUAAUACCCCGGAUGUCUAAACUGUUAGAGGGUUUAGACUAAAACUUCGGUGCCUCAAGAGGGGCCUGCGGGCUAUCAGCUUGUUGGUGGGGUAAUGGCCUACCAAGGCUAAGACGGCUAGGGGGCGUGAGAGCGCGACCCCCCACAAUGGAACUGAGACACGGUCCAUACUCCUACGGGAGGCAGCAGUGAGGAAUAUUGCGCAAUGGGGGAAACCCUGACGCAGCAACGCCGCGUGAACGAUGAAGGCCUUCGGGUCGUAAAGUUCUUUUCUAAGGGAAGAUAGUGACGGUACCUUAGGAAUAAGUCCCGGCUAACUACGUGCCAGCAGCCGCGGUAAAACGUAGGGGGCGAGCGUUAUCCGGAUUUAUUGGGCGUAAAGCGCACGUAGGUGGCGCUGUAAGUUAGACGUGAAAGCUCUCGGGUCAACUGAGAGAGGUCGUUUAAAACUGCAGUGCUUGAGGUUAGAAGAGGAGGAGCAGAAUUCCCGGUGUAGUGGUGGACUGCGUAGCAUUCGGGAGGAAUACCAGUGGCGAAGCCGGCUCUUUAGUCUACACCUGACACUGAGGUGCGAAAGCGUGGGUAGCGAACGGGAUUAGAUACCCCGGUAGUCCACGCUGUAAACGAUGGAUACUAGGUGUAGGGGGUCAUUUAACCCCUCUGUGCCGAAGCAAACGCGUUAAGUAUCCCGCCUGGGGACUACGGCCGCAAGGUUAAAACUCAAAGGAAUUGACGGGGGCCCGCACAAGCAGCGGAGCGUGUGGUUUAAUUCGAUGAUACGCGAAGAACCUUACCUGGGCUGAACUACGUGGUAGUAGUGAAGCGAAAGCGGAUCGACCCUUCGGGGAGCCUCGAUAGGUGCUGCAUGGCUGUCGUCAGCUCGUGUCGUGAGAUGUUGGGUUAAGUCCCGCAACGAGCGCAACCCUCGUCGCUAGUUACAAGUGUCUAGCGAGACUGCCGGUAUCAAACCGCGAGGAAGGUGGGGAUGACGUCAAGUCAGCAUGGUCUUUAUGUCCAGGGCUACACACACGCUACAAUGGUCGGUACAAUAGGUUGCCACACCGCGAGGUGGAGCUAAUCCUCAAAGCCGAUCUCAGUUCGGAUUGUAGUCUGCAACUCGACUACAUGAAGGCGGAGUUGCUAGUAACCGCGCGUCAGCACAGUCCGGUGAAUGCGUUCCCGGGCAUUGUACACACCGCCCGUCACAUCAUGGGAGUCGGUAACACCUGAAG
Molecule: ribosomal RNA, 1316 nt
Filed under: uncultured organism
Description: bacterial SSU rRNA
Rfam family: Bacterial small subunit ribosomal RNA
Source: RNAcentral